Equus caballus (horse) is the source of this 1867-nucleotide long non-coding RNA. RefSeq lists it as uncharacterized. The record is from RefSeq and is a predicted model, not a curated record. Lineage: Eukaryota; Metazoa; Chordata; Mammalia; Perissodactyla; Equidae.
UGACAGGAGACCGGGAGGAACAAGUUUCCCUCCGUGUGCUUUUCCCGUCCGUCUGUCCGUCUCUCCCGGAGGCCCUGCAGGGAUCUCCACGGGAAGGGAGGCGCCGGCGGUCUUCGUCCAGGGCGUGAGGGGAUGACUCCGGCGAUUACAUGAAAAAUGGAUUACAAGUGGAUCAAGAGAAGAAGUAAAGAGACCAGAGUUCAGGAUGGACCUGAGUAUAACCAGCCUCGAAAGGCACCGCUUUUCCCUCUGGCGCCGCACGUGGAAGAACUGAGAUCCCCGGCGAGUUCCAAUCUGGCAAGGUUGUGCAGCAGUUCUGUGACAGAAUAAAAUAUGGGAAAUUGAUGUUUUGAAUUUAGGUUUGUCUUAAAGAAGAUGGAACGAAAGCGUCAUAAUAAAAUAAGAAGGAGGGGCCCUAACAACUGAGGACAUCAAUUUGAAGAAAAGGGUCAGAGGAAACAGGUUUUAUCAUUGGGGCCAGGGAUGGCUUCGUGGUCAAGAGGGGAGCAGCAGGUAAGCAGAAAUUGCUUCUAAUUUGUAAAUGGCUUAUUUGGAAGUUAAGGGCUGUCUUAGUCAAUGUAGGUAUAAUUUUAAGAUCAAUCAUAUUUCACUCUCAUAGGAUCAUUUGAUACUUUCAAAGACUAAAGGUACUCUCAUCACUCUUCUCUUAAAACAAGGACAUCUAGUUCUCUUACCUCAAAUCAUGUCUUUAUGUUUUUGCUAUUGAAUGAAAAUGAUUAUGUAGAAUGUACUAUUUUUAAAUUUCCAAGAGUAGAUUUGGAGGGUUAUUAUCAGUAUCCUAUACUCUUCCUUUUGUGACCGAAUAAUAUUUUUUGCACUUUUGCUUAGCUUUUAAAAAAGAAAAUAAUGUAUUCAAGUAUAACGUCAUUUGCAAAGUGACCUCGGUAGCUUUUGCUCAAAAAUUACUAUAUUGUCCUAUUUGUAAUAUCAAAUUGCCAUUGUUUGGAGGCAAAAUGAUCAUUUCGAAAUGAUUUCAACAAUCUAGAGAGACAUUUAAGCAAUAUUACCCCCAAUCCUGCCAUAAUUUUUUAGAUGUGUUCUCCUUGCUGACAAUUGCCUUGUAAAAUCUUUAUGAUUGCUCCUCUUGUCUUUGAAUGUUGUAGUCUAGAAAUAUUUAGACAGCUUGCUGUUGUGUGUGACAUAUUCUUGAGGCCAUCAGAAAGACUAACUCCUUUUCCCAACUCCAAUUUGGUAUUUCUUACAUUUCCAGGGUGGAGUUUAGAAGACCUGGGUGAUAUGAUCAGUAAGCCGUUUUGAGAAUUGCUCAGAACUCCAUUUUAUCUUUUUUAAAAAACAACCUUUAAAAUCAGAAACCUUGGCAUAGCACUCUCCAACUGUGCCACAGAAGGACAUGCGAUGUUGGUACUUUUUCCUGUCUAUUUUUGUCUCCUACCAAAUCAUAGCCCUGGAAGGGAGCUUUAGAAGUCAUCAAUCUGUUCUGUUGCCUUCAUGCUAAACAUCACAGAGAAGAGAUAAUCGACCCUGUUCUAAAAGGCUAGUCAGUGGAAAGUAUCUCAAAAUUAACCAACAAGUAUUUGUGCUUACUGUGUAUAUACAACAUAUGUAUGGAGAGAAGAACAUGACAAAGUAUAAGACAUUAUCCAUACCCACAAGAAUUUUACAUUUCCUUUGGAGAGGAUAGAUACAUAAACACACAUAAAACCACCAUUAGAGACUCUUGGAUUUGGAGUAGAUCUUGAAGGUCUAACAUCUUGACCACUGCAAAUACGGUAGUCCCCACUUAUCCACACUGGGAUACGUUCCAACACCCCCCAUGGAUGCCUGAAACCUCAGAUAGUACCGAACCCUAUAUGUACUAUCUUUUUUCCUGUACAUACAUAUCUAC